GUUGUAUAAAUUAAUGUAUGGAGUCAGGAGCAAUAUGCUCUAGAAAUACAUGGUUAUGAUGCUACCUUCAACGUGCUGCUGCUGGCCUGAUCUUCCCUUGGUGAUGAACAACAAGAUACAUGGGAGAAUGGCUCUGCAAGCCAACAUUGUUGACAAGGACAGGUAAAUCAGAUUCACUAUGUUGCAGCUUCAAUCCAAAAAUAUUAUAUUGCACACACAAUUCACAUAUGGUAAAUCAGAUUCCCUUGCCGCCGCCGAACUCCACCGCUGCCACAGGUUUUGCCCCGGAGGUGUUCGACUGAAUGCCACUCAACCAAUACGGUUUCUAUUUAUUCCUAACCAUUGCCUCAUAUAUUUUAUUGUUCAUGGGUCUAUCUAUCUCCUUACAAUGGAGGGAUACAUCGUUGGGCUAGGACUAACAGCUUGCAGCUUGUUCACCAUUCAGCUAGAAGAUCAAGGAGGUUGUUCCUACGAAUACAAAUCAUGCUCAGACGCUAUUAAAUCAGCCACUGAUUCACAUAUUCACAAAGCUUAUUUUACAUGGAGAUGAUGGUGUGUGAAUUGAGAAUCCUUAAUUGUCAUCGGUUCAGCGCUAUAAACUCCCCUAUAAAACUUACCAUGAGGCAUCUAUAUCUUGAUUCCAUAUCUCUUUUUGCUUUUGUGCACAGGUGCAGUAAUGUCAUAUGACAAUGAAGAUUUGAUUCGGCAAUGGAGGCAAAUGCAGUUCUUUUCCCUUCCCGUACCUAAUUCAUAUGCUUUCUAUUUAAUCCUUGCAAUUGCCUCAGAAGUUGAAUGUAUCUAAUCUUGUUUUCUUCCUAGGCUCCUCGGUUAUCUUAUUGGUUUGUUGUUUGCUUGUUAGGAGUGAGUUGACGACAAAUUGAACUGAAGAAGAAUUUGUGGGCGAAAAGUGCUACUGAACUAUAUUCUUCUUGUGAGCAUUCAUUUAUCCAAUUCUCAAGAAGUCAACCAGGCUCCUGUUUUUUAAUUUAUUUCUACAUAUCUAUGUAUUUAUGAAUAAUUGUUCCAAUUCUUAUUUGGUUACCACUGCUUCAAUCUUUUUCAAUUUUAAAAAUGAUUUGACUAAGGUAAGGGCACCGAGAUUUUGGAAAACAAUAUCAUCGAGAAUGACAUGAAAUCUGGUUUGUUCUUACACAUGAUUUGGGCAUGAUUAUCAAUUUUCGGCUGUACUGAUAUUUGGUUUUGAAUUUAAUUUGUGUCACUACAAUAGGUAUUUGUUAAAUGCAGCUAUGGUAAUGUACAGUUCUAAUUUGAAGUUGGAAGAUUAUAUCACUCCCAAUUAUUGAAUGUUUUUCAAA
This is a non-coding RNA of Oryza sativa Japonica Group (Japanese rice), 1316 nucleotides long. Lineage: Eukaryota; Viridiplantae; Streptophyta; Magnoliopsida; Poales; Poaceae. The record is from RefSeq and is a predicted model, not a curated record.